CCUACGGGCGGCAGCAGUGAGGAAUAUUGGUCAAUGGGCGGAAGCCUGAACCAGCCAAGUAGCGUGCGGGAUGACGGCCCUACGGGUCGUAAACCGCUUUUGCACGGGGAUAACACCCUCCACUUGUGGAGGUCUGCAGGUACCGUGCGAAUAAGGGCCGGCUAAUUCCGUGCCAGCAGCCGCGGUAAUACGGAGGGUCCGAGCGUUAUCCGGAUUCAUUGGGCUUAAAGGGUGCGUAGGCGGUCGGUCAAGUUAGCGGUAAAAUCGCGGGGCUCAACCGCGCCCCGCAGUUGAAACUGGACGCCUUGAGUUCACAAGAGGCAGGCGGAAUGCGUGGUGUAGCGGUGAAAUGCAUAGAUAUCACGAGGAACCCCGAUUGCGAAGGCAGCCUGCCGGGGUGCGACUGACGCUGAGGCUCGAAGGUGCGGGUAUCAAACAGGAUUAGAUACCCUUGUAGUC
Molecule: ribosomal RNA, 459 nt
Filed under: uncultured bacterium
Lineage: Bacteria
Description: partial 16S ribosomal RNA
Rfam family: Bacterial small subunit ribosomal RNA
Source: RNAcentral